GCUGAUUGUUCGGAAAUUACAAUCGGUUACGCGUUCCGAAUUCUUAGCUCAAUCAAGAACAUGAUUGUCAUUCAUUACCACGUUUCAGUUACAAAUCAUUUCCAUACCUUACGAGAACUUCAAACGCUAUAAAUAUCGAGACUCUCAUCACCGAUUUUAACCCCACUUGAACCAUCCUCUAACUCAUACUAUCUCUGUUCAAUAACUCACCACCGGAGACAACGUCGACGGUAACCGGCAUCACGACGGAAGUUCACCGGAGAAGAAAGCUCAAGCCAAAACUUACGGAUCUUCGUUUCGAUGAUACGAACACGUCGGGACUCGAGAUUCACGUCGGAGUCUAACUCGUUCUUGGGCAUCCUCGUUCUUGUUCGGUUUCAAAAGAAGAACACGUCGGAGACGAUCGGGGUCACGACAAAGCCACGAUACGUUCCGAUCAUUAUGUGAUAUUGGAAAAUAUAGGAUAACCUCUCUUGUUCGUCCUCUUGGAAUUCUCCAUUCUUACUCGUGCGUUACUUACAAGAAAUCGCAACGCAACCACUGUGUUUGAAUGCUUUGGAUGCUUGCUUGCUUAUCGUGGAAUCAAGUAGGAUCGAGAGUCUAGAAACAAAGACAAUUUACCUUAUUUUUAUUUUAAAUCUGAGUUGUCGGAACAUGUUAUUUGACUAUGAGAUAUCGUUGUCUAUAAUAA
This is a long non-coding RNA of Helianthus annuus (common sunflower), 691 nucleotides long. RefSeq lists it as uncharacterized. Lineage: Eukaryota; Viridiplantae; Streptophyta; Magnoliopsida; Asterales; Asteraceae. The transcript is spliced from 3 exons. The record is from RefSeq and is a predicted model, not a curated record.